CCUACGGGAGGCAGCAGUAGGGAAUCUUCCACAAUGGACGCAAGUCUGUUGGAGCAACGCCGCGUGAGUGAAGAAGGGUUUCGGCUCGUAAAGCUCUGUUGUUAAAGAAGAACGUGGGUAAGAGUAACUGUUCACCCAGUGACGGUAUUUAACCAGAAAGCCACGGCUAACUACGUGCCAGCAGCCGCGGUAAU
Molecule: ribosomal RNA, 194 nt
Filed under: uncultured Pediococcus sp.
Lineage: Bacteria; Bacillati; Bacillota; Bacilli; Lactobacillales; Lactobacillaceae
Description: partial 16S ribosomal RNA
Rfam family: Bacterial small subunit ribosomal RNA
Source: RNAcentral